AGAGUUUGAUCCUGGAUCAGGAUGAACGCUAGCUACAGGCUUAACACAUGCAAGUCGAGGGGCAGCAGAUCGAAAGCUUGCUUUUGAUGCUGGCGACCGGCGCACGGGUGAGUAACGCGUAUCCAACCUUCCCUAUAGUAGAGAAUAGCCCGGCGAAAGUCGGAUUAAUGCUCUAUGUUGUAUUUAGAAGACAUCUGAAGAAUACCAAAGGUUUACCGCUAUAGGAUGGGGAUGCGUCUGAUUAGGUAGUAGGCGGGGUAACGGCCCACCUAGCCGACGAUCAGUAGGGGUUCUGAGAGGAAGGUCCCCCACAUUGGAACUGAGACACGGUCCAAACUCCUACGGGAGGCAGCAGUGAGGAAUAUUGGUCAAUGGACGGAAGUCUGAACCAGCCAAGUAGCGUGCAGGAUGACGGCCCUAUGGGUUGUAAACUGCUUUUAUAUAGGGAUAAAGUCGGGGACGUGUCCCCGUUUGUAGGUACUAUAUGAAUAAGGACCGGCUAAUUCCGUGCCAGCAGCCGCGGUAAUACGGAAGGUCCAGGCGUUAUCCGGAUUUAUUGGGUUUAAAGGGAGCGCACGCUGAUGAUUAAGCGUGACGUGAAAUGUAGCCGCUCAACGGCUGAACUGCGUCGCGAACUGGUUAUCUUGAGUGAGUUCGAUGUUGGCGGAAUUUCGUGGUGUAGCGGUGAAAUGCUUAGAUAUCACGAAGAACUCCGAUUGCGAAGGCAGCCAACAAGGCCUUUACUGACGCUAAAGCUCGAAGGUGCGGGUAUCGAACAGGAUUAGAUACCCUGGUAGUCCGC
RNAcentral lists this ribosomal RNA (802 nucleotides) under uncultured bacterium. RNAcentral's name for it is "bacterial SSU rRNA". It matches the Rfam family "Bacterial small subunit ribosomal RNA", at positions 8 to 798 of the family's 1533-position model. The record is from RNAcentral.